RNAcentral lists this ribosomal RNA (253 nucleotides) under uncultured bacterium. RNAcentral describes it as "partial 16S ribosomal RNA". It matches the Rfam family "Bacterial small subunit ribosomal RNA", at positions 524 to 776 of the family's 1533-position model. The record is from RNAcentral.
UACGGGGGGGGCAAGCGUUGUUCGGAAUUACUGGGCGUAAAGGGCUUGUAGGCGGCCAACUAAGUCGGAUGUGAAAUCCCCAGGCUUAACCUGGGAACUGCAUCCGAUACUGGAUGGCUUGAAUCCGGGAGAGGGAUGCAGAAUUCCAGGUGUAGCGGUGAAAUGCGUAGAUAUCUGGAGGAAUACCGGUGGCGAAGGCGGCAUCCUGGACCGGCAUUGACGCUGAGGAGCGAAAGCUAGGGGAGCAAACGGG